Phascolarctos cinereus (koala) is the source of this 1506-nucleotide non-coding RNA. NCBI's taxonomy places the organism in Eukaryota, Metazoa, Chordata, Mammalia, Diprotodontia, Phascolarctidae. The record is from RefSeq and is a predicted model, not a curated record.
UGUUCUUAUGCUUCCUGAUAUAACUGAGUUACCAUCACAAAUCAUGCCUGGAACACAGAAAAUCGAUGGUAUACUUCCACGAGUGAUCCCUUUCAGAAAAUAUUAGUGAUGGUGGCCCUUGUUCAGGGUUACUCCACAUUGAGCUCGGGUUUACCCAGAAUAAUGCUGAAAACAAACAAACAAAUCCAAACAGGAGGGAAGAGAAAGAGAAUCUUGAUCAAAGAGGAGAAUAAGUUUUUAGAAUAAAACUCUUUUUUGGGGGAAGGUAAAAGGAAACAAAAGUAUAUAUUUGCUUUUCGUUCCCCAGGAGCUGUGAUCACAGCUACGCUUAGCAUCAUCACACCAUUAACCACUUCGAGGCUUUAGAACCUGUUAGGCGUGUGCUACCAGCUCCCUGAUGCAGGCUGCUGUUGUCGUGGUGAGUCAGAAGAGUGAGUCACUGGCUUUGUGUACUGUGUGACACUUUGAAGGCAUUUGAAGGAAAUAUUUAGUGUCACCUGAUAGUUUCACUCUCUCAUCUGCUAGAGAAAUCUUAAAGUUCCCAACUCACUCUCAUGCUGUUUAUUUGAGCACGUCUUGUCACUUCGUACAAGAGAUGAGGUUUGGAAAAGCUGUGUGGAAAUCCAGUUCACCUGAAGUAGGUCAUCUUUCAAAAGUGCUUGGGAGAUCUUGGUCCUUAAAGGAUUUCUGAGGUGAAUCCUUUUAGAAAGUAAAGAGCACUUCAUUGAUUCAAGAGAGCUUGACAGAGAUGUUCUUAUUGAGGUUACGAUAUGCUCAGGAAGCCUUUCUCUCUACAGUAGGAGAUGAUAAGUUGUGAGGCACAACUACAGGAGGGAGAAGAAACCCCUCUAUCUCUUUAGCUUUAAUUGGAAGAAAAUCCCUGAGGAACUUUUAUGGCGGUUAGCUGAUUUACAUGGAGAAAGGGAUGAAGCCAGGUCCACAGAGGGUGUGCUUAAAGACCUACGCUAGAUUGGCAGCUUAACGUCCUUUUCUCUAAUUAAAUUGGGAAUAAUCUGAUUUCUUUCCUCAUAUUGAAGAUUAAAGAUCUAAGAAGUGGUUCUUUCAAAAGGCUUUUGAUAUGAAGGUGCCUUGAAGCCUCAAGAUAUUCGGGGACCAUGAAUAAACCUCAACGAUUCUGGGUUCAGGCAGAUUGUCCCAGGAAAUCCGGGGGACAGGAUUAUGGUUAAAUUAAGCAGUGACAGAUAACAGUUGAAGAGGAAUGAGAAAGGUAAUAUACUAAAGUGUACUUAGUGGUUUAUGUGGUACAGUGAACUCCCUAAGGAGUAAAUUACCUCUACCAAGGUUCUUGGAAACUUAGUCUUGGCUACCUAGAGUACUGACAGGUGAAGUGACCUGCCCCAGAGUCACACAGCCAAUGAGAGGUGGAACUUAGACCCAGCCCAUCCUUACUCUGAUACUGGCUCUCUAUCAGCGAGGCCACACUGUCUCUAAACUUGCAUUAUCUUUAAAAAUAUACAGUCAAGAUUCAUUUGGAAAAACAGAAGG